This 528-nucleotide unclassified non-coding RNA is filed under the name Hevea brasiliensis (rubber tree). Lineage: Eukaryota; Viridiplantae; Streptophyta; Magnoliopsida; Malpighiales; Euphorbiaceae. The record is from RNAcentral.
GAAAAAAGGGAAAAAUGAGUUUAGAAGAGUAGAUAGUGGCAUGUUGAGAAAGGGGCUCUCUGGCAGCUAUACUGGAGUUUAAGGUGAUGAAGAUUUUGGUUUAGAGAGAACACUUGCUAAUAUUUUUCUGUCACUAGAGAGGAGAGCUAAAAAUUGUAUGGAUGCCUGCUGGUUAAGCAUGAAGCUAUGCCACAUGCAUUGUCCAAUGUCUAUUCAGUGGCAUAAUGGCCACAUUGAUAAGAUAAUAGAAGGGCCACCUGAAAGUUUUAAAGCCCAAGUAUAAUACAGAAACUUUUUAAGGCAUUCGGACUACAAUAAAAUCGGAAAUAAAACACAGAAGGAAUUAAAUAAAUUCAAGCCUUGUGUUUUUAUGUGUCUGUGGCACAUUUGGAUGCCUUCAUUCAUUUCAAAACUUUCCUUACCGGGUAGAGUCACUAGCAAUGAUAAAUUUAUUCCUAAAAAUGCAGGAAAAUAAUGCAAAGUGACUUGGACUCUAUAUAUCACCAUAUUUGUUGAUUCUAGAAGACA